UGGGGAAUUUUGGACAAUGGGCGAAAGCCUGAUCCAGCCAUGCCGCGUGAGUGAAGAAGGCCUUCGGGUUGUAAAGCUCUUUUAGUCGGAAAGAAAGAGUUGCAAUGAAUAAUUGUGAUUUAUGACGGUACCGACAGAAAAAGCACCGGCUAACUACGUGCCAGCAGCCGCGGUAAUACGUAGGGGGCGAGCGUUAAUCGGAAUUACUGGGCGUAAAGGGUGCGCAGGCGGUCUUGCAAGUCAGAUGUGAAAGCCCCGGGCUUAACCUGGGAAUUGCGUUUGAAACUACAAGGCUAGAGUGCAGCAGAGGGGAGUGGAAUUCCAUGUGUAGCAGUGAAAUGCGUAGAGAUGUGGAAGAACACCGAUGGCGAAGGCAGCUCCCUGGGUUGACACUGACGCUCAUGCACGAAAGCGUGGGGAGCAAACA
RNAcentral lists this ribosomal RNA (427 nucleotides) under uncultured beta proteobacterium. RNAcentral describes it as "bacterial SSU rRNA". It matches the Rfam family "Bacterial small subunit ribosomal RNA", at positions 355 to 774 of the family's 1533-position model. Lineage: Bacteria; Pseudomonadati; Pseudomonadota; Betaproteobacteria. The record is from RNAcentral.